AGCACGUUUUGCUGUAUGCUUAUGUCGUUUUCGAUCUCUUCACAUCUCCGCACGCGCGCACAGCCCACAUGCGCAGCGGUCGCGCGCGCGCGCCAGCAUAUCACUCCCUGGCAGCUGCUGCGGGUGGGCUCUCCGGAUGAGGAGAGACUAGCGGCACGCAGGCAGCACCUCUCUCGUUUUUUUUUUGAUUUGCUGCCAGGCUCCCCUAAUCGCUACUGGCGGAUGGUGCGGCACAGACAGACGCCAAAUCAGCAGCACCCGCGAUGCUGUACGCUAAUAAUACACCCAUAGGCACGGCUGCGAAAUGCUGCGGCCUCCGUGCUAGCAGCGACGGCGCCGAGGGCGAGGCAGUGGAGCUGGGGCUGGACAUGCUUCGAAGGCAACUGGAGCAACCAAGGCACGGGAAAACAAGUGUGGGCGUUGCCACGGACUCGCUCUCCUUGCUCAUGGCGCUCGGCGCGGGCCCUACAAGAGUGACAGAUGGCAUGCUGCGAUGCAUUGGGGCACAGGUGCCGGCGCUACUGUAGCCCGUCGCGUGCGUCUCUCACUUGAGUUUGUCUUUGGCCGCUGUGAGUUGGAGCGCAAGGCCGAAUCUGGCAGGCUUGUGUGAAUUGGCAGUGGCAGAGGCGCCGGCGCCAGCUGCAUGGAUUACUAACGGGCCUGGUGGUCACUGGCCGCAGACGCCAGGUCCAACAUCCCCCGAAACCGCGCACCACGCGAUGUGGCCCGCGACGGCAGGCCACCCUCCUCGCCCGGCUGCGCACAUCCACCUGUCCGCACUUUGGAUUCCUGCAGCGACAAGAUGGCGCGCAGACGGUGUGCCGCCCACCAACUCUUCUAGCGCUGUGGUGCCCCCAACCCCGUCAGCGCCUCGAUCCCCACCCGCUUUCUGCGGUGAGGGCGGCCGAUCCGGCACUGUGCCGGGCAUGCGACGCGAGACUCGCGGGUUGCUCGAGGCGCAAGGCGCACCUCGUUCCACGCUACGAUGCUGCGCGCACCGGUGUGAUGACGCACAUGCUAGUUGCGCCGCAUGGCCUUUCCGCGCCGUGUGUGUGUGUGUGUGUGUGUGUGUGUGUGUGUGUCUGUGGCUGCCCCCCUGUGCGCAGAUACAUGCUUGUCUGUUGGCCCCUGCUGCCACAGACCCAUGGCAGCGUCCCCCCGUCGCGGCGCAUGUGGGCCAACCCAUUCCGACUCGCCGCCACGACAUCGACGGAGAUGGAGGAGGAUGCCCGCCACCCGGACAGCUGCGUCGUGCCCUGAGGCAGGCCACAGGAUCUCGAAAAGGCGAGAGCGCACGGUGCGCAGGCGCUGCCAUGCACAGCUGGCAUGGGUGUGCCGCAUCCAUGCAAGGCGUGCGGUUGUCCGAUGCGCAAGAGUGAUGGGCGAAAAAGGGCGCGAAGGGCACCAUACGAAUCGACGCCAGGGCGCAUGUGUGCGCAGAGCAUGCGGCGUCUCCUGCGUCCGACGCGGUGGGCUGAUAUGAGGGCACGGGUGCCGGAAGCAUGGCAUACGGCCGGGUUGCAGAGGCUCUGAAGGGCUCUCACCGGAGGCUGGCCGACUUGUUCCUCGAGCUCAUUCGGCACGCGCCUGGCCCACCACCACCACCACCUCUUCUACCCCGCAGGGCGGCUCGUUCUCGGCGACCAGGAGAUGUCGCCGCCGUGCGGCCAGAGGGUUGAGGCGCUGUGGUUGCGGAGGCGUGUAUACACUGUUGCGGACCUAUUUGCGAUGGACUGGGACUUCG
This 1744-nucleotide unclassified non-coding RNA is filed under the name Leishmania donovani. RNAcentral's name for it is "gene:unknown". Lineage: Eukaryota; Euglenozoa; Kinetoplastea; Trypanosomatida; Trypanosomatidae. The record is from RNAcentral.